GUCCACGCCGUAAACGAUGAGUGCUAGGCGUUGGGGGUAUUGACCCCUCCAGUGCCGCAGCUAACGCGAUAAGCACUCCGCCUGGGGAGUACGGCCGCAAGGCUAAAACUCAAAGGAAUUGACGGGGGCCCCGCACAAGCGGUGGAGCAUGUGGUUUAAUUCGACGCAACGCGAAGAACCUUACCUGGGUUAAAUCCACCCGAAGUCCGCAGAGAUGUGGAUGUGCCCUUCGGGGAAUGGGUGAGACGGUGCUGCAUGGCUGUCGU
RNAcentral lists this ribosomal RNA (266 nucleotides) under uncultured bacterium. RNAcentral's name for it is "partial 16S ribosomal RNA". It matches the Rfam family "Bacterial small subunit ribosomal RNA", at positions 793 to 1055 of the family's 1533-position model. The record is from RNAcentral.